AAAAACCCCAUUUUGCCCCUGCCUUCCCUUCAACAAACGUUCCUUUCCCGCGCCCCCUCCACUGACUGCUUUCGCCUUUUGCGCCCGCUAGAAACUCCACCUGCAGUCCUCACUAUCGCCCUUAUUGCCUCCCCGCAGACGCCCUCACCACCGACCUCUCCCUGCCGGCCCCUUUGUUGCUCAACCAGAAGCGCCACGUUGUCGAGUUGCCUGACUUCUAAAUGGCCGCAAUUCCUUUCAACUGUUCAUGCCUUUUCGCCAAACCCCCUCCUCGCAUCUUCCCUUCUGUUUCCGAAUCAUCCCUUUAAUAUGGACCUGCAGACAUGGAACAUCCUCUUUCCCUUUCCUCUCCUUCCAGCCGGUGAUGCGCUCUGCAUCUCUAAGGUGCUCGUUCAAAUGCCUUGUACAAACGGCUAUUAUGUUCGACUUUGCUUACUAAAGCAAAAUCAAUGCAUGCCCGAGAAAUCGCUGAUUCGCUGGACCAAAGGGAGGAUUUACAAUUGAUUUCACAUUUACCGAUGCGAGUGUGAUCUAAUACGUGGUAAUUUUCCAUUUAAAAAAAAAAAAUCUUUAUCCCGGCCACUCCAGUCUCUGCCUACUGCCAUCGCCACCCUAUUCUUGAUGCCCCUGCUGGCGACUCCAGCCCCGCUCAAUCUGCUAGGACUAUAGUGCCGCGGCUGAGUCCCUUCAACAGAUACCAGCCUCUGCCUUCUGUACUGGCACACUCCUUUCCAAUCCCUCUCCCGUUUUCACCAAUUCCCUAUCUUGUCUUGUCCAAUGCGUUAGGAGAUACCUGGGUGCCAAGGUUGUUGAGGGGCUGACCUUCUUGUCUCAAUCAACCCGAGCCCAAAAGAGAGUUAUCCAAUAUAAUACGAGAAUGAUCAAUUAUCUUCUCAGCGAAUCAAAGUUGUCCUUCCACCAAGAUGUGAUCGAGAUAGCAAAGGGGAGGGUUCGCCAAUAGAUGGGACAUGAAGUACGACUAAAAAUAUAUGGACUGCGUGAAGAAAUUUUGGCCCAGCAAGAUAGGAUACUGAGCAGCAAUGAAAUUGAGGGUCACCAACUGCCCGAUUCUUCCCGGGAAGAAUUUGAUGUAUUGGUUCAAUGUCAACAGAGUUAAGUGUAUAGUGAAUCGCUUACUGUCCAUACAGAGGAAACAAGCAUCGGAGAUUGAGGACAAAAAAUCCAUUUGGAACUGUUCCCUCUCUAAUUAUAGAGCCAGGGAAAUACAUGCGCCAGGUUGUAUGGGUCGUUCCUGCUUCUCUCCCCACGGGAGUCUUGGACCCAUUUAGUUAAACGUUAAUGUAAGUUAUUUUUUGAGAGAAAUCUUGAUGGUCACUUGUCCGCAUUAUUGACUGGUGCAUUUGUACUUUUCAUCUUCUUUACCAUCCUCAUUUGCAGACGUGCUGCAACAUAUUAAGCUUGCUCCCUGUUCGUUACUAGAGAGGGAUCUAUAAUGAGAUUUUGCCCGUAAAGCAUGGAAGUGCAGUUCGUCCAUUUUGUAGGGCCAUUUUCAUUCGACUUAAUAAUGAAAUCAUAGUUGUAUUACUUUCAGUAGUCCACUAUAUGCAAACUCAACUAUUCUUGAUGUAUGAUCUCUCAUGAAUGUCUAUGGGGAAGAAAAGAAAUAUUGAAGGGAACGAAAGGUCAUGUCUGCAAGAUAGCUUAGGAUCAAUUCUAGACAUUAGUUAGUCCAGUUUCCAUUUUGCUCAUUCCUCAGAAUGUAGUUUUCACAUUAUAUUAUAUACUAUAUAUGCUUGUGUCAGCAUUUUUUUCAUUGUUUGAUGAAACAAAAUUUGUUAAGCGGGUUACCUUCUAAUAACCUCUUCUGUCGAUUCUUUGCCCAGUAGACUUCAUUUAGACUGAAAAUCAUUAUACGUAUUUUUUUCUUGGGUAAAGAUAGAUAGAUGGCCAUUAGCUUUAGGCAAUUCUAAGAGAGGCAGUUCUUAAUAAAAUUUUUAUUCUUAUUCUUUCUUUCUAUCCUGCUGACGUUUCUGUCAGAUCAACUGCUUUACUCAAUAUGACAUCUUCCAAUCUUUUCGGAUAGAGUUGAAGUGGCCUUGGGCGGAUCACAUUAGGUCAUGCAGCUUUAUUCAUUCAAAAAUAUAUUAUAUCAAUGUGGUGCUUUGGUGCUAAUUCCAAAUCACCUGCUUGAUUUCCAGAAUGGAAGGCGGCCAUUAGUAUAGCUACUGCAACCGACUUGUUCACAUUAACUCAGUUCUGAUGACCUCACUUUUCUUAAUUCAAUUCUUGCUUCUCUAAGUUCCAAGGUAAAAAUCAAGCCCUAACUUUAUGUCUAAAUUAUCUCUACUCAACUCUAAAACCAAACACACUAUUAAAAUCAGAUCUACAAGCAUUCUCAAUCGCUUCUACUUUCUUUGCAUCAGAAUUAUUUUGAAGCUUAUUAUGCUUAAACAAAAGCAGCGCAUGUCACUGAAACUGGUAAGGCCAGAAGUAAUAAUGUUGGUAAAAUGAUUGAGGAAGAAGAUGGUGGGGUUAAAGAUCACAACGAGGUUUCUCACGUAGUAGAGGUUGGAAAAAUUAAGAAGUUUUAAGAAUUCUUGAUUGGUGGUAGCACUGCAUCUGUAUGCAGUUAAAAUUUUCUUUUCAAUCCAACAGCUUCAAAAGCAUACUUUUAGAGAAGUUCCUUGUGUGGACAAUGAACGGACAUAGACAAGUCAAUGAGUGGUAAUAUCUUUACAGAGCCUCAUCAAUGUUUGUAUUUAGGAUGCGUAAGAGCUCCUCAUGUCGACAUCCGGGCGAGGUAGGGAUGUUAAUCCAUUUUUUAAUGAAUAUCCAAUCGCUGAAUUACUGUAUCAACUAUUAGAUUCUAAUAAUAUAUUUAUUACCUAUUUAAGAACUUAACUCAUUGCAUAGCUGCGGGCUGUUUUGUUUCUUAAACACAUGCAGGUUGCUCCGGUGAGGCAGGUGGCAUUCUCCUCCCAGUCUUAGGUGAUGAGUUGAGUACUGUGUAUGAAGCUUUAGCGGCCUUAGCAACUAAUCUCAAGUCCAAAGAUGUAGAAGGGGAGCACGUCCUUGGAAAGUCCCAACUCCGGUCCAACAACUAGAAAGCACAUCCUAGACUGCCCAGCUUUUGACAGCACUUUGUGGGAUAAAACUCUGGAAGGGCAUUGCAAUACUUGAGUUAAAGGUCGCAAGUGACUGCCUAGGUUUAGUUUCUGUCUUCUAGGAAGUCGAAAUAGAUCAAUCAUUGAAUGAAGGAAACAUGGUAUCUGUUGAAACAGUUUUGGAGGAACACAUUUUCGAAAGAAUUCCCUGAUGGAAUUUUGUAUACACUUGGUAGACAAUUGGACCAUCAGCUUUUUUAUAUAUUUUAAAACCAAACUGUUUUAUAUCA
This is a non-coding RNA of Punica granatum (pomegranate), 3355 nucleotides long. The record is from RefSeq and is a predicted model, not a curated record. Lineage: Eukaryota; Viridiplantae; Streptophyta; Magnoliopsida; Myrtales; Lythraceae.